GUUUCUGUGGUGUAGUGGUUAUUAUGUUCGCUUCACAUAUGAAAGGUCUCUGGUUCGAGACUGCGUGGGAACA
RNAcentral lists this transfer RNA (73 nucleotides) under Homo sapiens (human). RNAcentral's name for it is "tRNA-Val-CAC-11-2". Lineage: Eukaryota; Metazoa; Chordata; Mammalia; Primates; Hominidae. The record is from RNAcentral.